Molecule: long non-coding RNA, 487 nt
Organism: Neodiprion virginianus
Lineage: Eukaryota; Metazoa; Arthropoda; Insecta; Hymenoptera; Diprionidae
Exons: 3
Source: RefSeq, a predicted model, not a curated record
CUUGACACUGCCACCUGCAGGAGCGCAGCGACCACUGCGAAGGUCUUCAUCCUGGAAUUCACACGUUGAAUCGUUUUCUCUUGAGAUUAUUACUGGCGAAACUCUCAUUGUUAAAUUGGAAUGGCGGAAAGAUCCAGAUAACGCAAAAAAGUUCGUCAACCUUUAACGUUGGAAAAAAUGAAUAUUUUUCGACAAGUCGAACGCAACGAAAAUAUGCAACAGCGGUAUUGAAAAAGAGAAACUGUAAAAAUCGUCGAUUCAAAAGCGAUUCGUCGCUUGAUUAAUAUGCCGAACGCAUUCGAACCCCGUGUUAUCCUGAGCACAAUAAGCCAACGGUCUUGUUCCUCGGAUUUUCACACCUGCGAUUGCUGGACGUCGAAGUCGUUACCAAGGACUUCAGGAUCUUCUCAUAUCCUUCGAAAGCGUGGCAGUUGGAAUCUCGCGUCGUGAUCGAAAGGCGAAUUGUCUCGAGGGUGAAAAAUUUGGG